AGUUGUGGUUGGGCAGAGGCAGGGAUCUUCUCCAGUGGUCAUUAGUAAUGCACUUUGUGGUCCUUAUUGGGUGCUGGCGAAGCAUAAGAGGAGAUUCUUAACGUCAGGAAUAUCGGCCUUAGCAUCUUUCUUAUUAAAAAUUAGAUUCUCUUUCUCUACUUGAGAAGGUUCUUACCAGGCAUACUACUCAUCGGUUAUUUUGCCCUUUGGGAUCGAAACAACCUAUUAAGGGUUGUCGCCUACAUAACCUACCUCCGGAAGAAGGUCUCAGAUCACUGUAGUUCGAGCCCUUUUGUUAAAGCAGUUCCUGUACUUUGAAUGAAUUCAAGCUAGUAAAGUAGUCUGCUUGAAGGGGGCCCUCCUCACCAUUAUUGGGUGCUGGCGAAGCAUAAGGGGAGAUUCUUAACGUCAGGAAUAUCGGCCUUAUCAUCUUUCGUAUUAAAAAUUAGAUUCUCUUUCUCUACUUGAGAAGGUUCUUACCAGGCAUACUACUCAUCGGUUAUUUUGCCCUUUGGGAUCGAAACAACCUAUUAAGGGUUGUCGCCUACAUAACCUACCUCCGGAAGAAGGUCUCAGAUCACUGUAGUUCGAGCCCUUUUGUUAAAGCAGUUCCUGUACUUUGAAUGAAUUCAAGCUAGUAAAG
This 643-nucleotide long non-coding RNA is filed under the name Nicotiana benthamiana. RNAcentral describes it as "long non-coding RNA (NBEN_LNC012127)". The record is from RNAcentral. Lineage: Eukaryota; Viridiplantae; Streptophyta; Magnoliopsida; Solanales; Solanaceae.